Small nucleolar RNA from Nannospalax galili (Upper Galilee mountains blind mole rat), 229 nucleotides. Its record names the gene U3. It matches the Rfam family "Small nucleolar RNA U3". Rfam says of the family: Small nucleolar RNAs (snoRNAs) are involved in the processing and modification of rRNA in the nucleolus. There are two main classes of snoRNAs: the box C/D class, and the box H/ACA class. U3 snoRNA is a member of the box C/D class. Lineage: Eukaryota; Metazoa; Chordata; Mammalia; Rodentia; Spalacidae. The record is from Ensembl.
UUCACUAUACUUUCAGGGAUCAUUUCUAUAGUUCGUAACUAGAGAAGUUUCUCUGACUGUGUAGAGUACCCGAAUCCACGAGGACGAGACAUAGCGUUCCCUUCUGAGCGUGAAGCUGGCUUUUGGUGUUGCUGUUUUCCGCAACUGCCACUUGCCAUUGAUGAUCGUUCUUCUCUUCCCCUGGGAUCCUUGAGCAAUUAAAAAAAAAAAAAAAGAGAGAGUCUUCAUA